This 497-nucleotide ribosomal RNA is filed under the name uncultured bacterium. RNAcentral's name for it is "partial 16S ribosomal RNA". It matches the Rfam family "Bacterial small subunit ribosomal RNA", at positions 28 to 507 of the family's 1533-position model. The record is from RNAcentral.
GAUGAACGCUGGCGGCGUGCCUAAUACAUGCAAGUCGAGCGAACAGACGAGGAGCUUGCUCCUCUGACGUUAGCGGCGGACGGGUGAGUAACACGUGGAUAACCUACCUAUAAGACUGGGAUAACUUCGGGAAACCGGAGCUAAUACCGGAUAAUCUAUUGAGCCGCAUGGUUCAAUAGUGACAGACGGUUUUGCUGUCACUUAUAGAUGGAUCCGCUCCGCAUUAGCUAGUUGGUAAGGUAACGGCUUACCAAGGCAACGAUGCGUAGCCGACCUGAGAGGGUGAUCGGCCACACUGGAACUGAGACACGGUCCAGACUCCUACGGGAGGCAGCAGUAGGGAAUCUUCCGCAAUGGGCGAAAGCCUGACGGAGCAACGCCGCGUGAGUGAUGAAGGUCUUCGGAUCGUAAAACUCUGUUAUUAGGGAAGAACAAAUGUGUAAGUAACUAUGCACGUAUUGACGGUACCUAAUCAGAAAGCCACGGCUAACUACGUG